RNAcentral lists this ribosomal RNA (463 nucleotides) under Vreelandella stevensii. Its description in RNAcentral is "partial 16S ribosomal RNA". It matches the Rfam family "Bacterial small subunit ribosomal RNA", at positions 338 to 795 of the family's 1533-position model. Lineage: Bacteria; Pseudomonadati; Pseudomonadota; Gammaproteobacteria; Oceanospirillales; Halomonadaceae. The record is from RNAcentral.
CCUACGGGAGGCUGCAGUGGGGAAUAUUGGACAAUGGGCGAAAGCCUGAUCCAGCCAUGCCGCGUGUGUGAAGAAGGCCUUCGGGUUGUAAAGCACUUUCAGUGGGGAAGAAAGCCUUGGGGCUAAUACCCUCGAGGAAGGACAUCACCCACAGAAGAAGCACCGGCUAACUCCGUGCCAGCAGCCGCGGUAAUACGGAGGGUGCGAGCGUUAAUCGGAAUUACUGGGCGUAAAGCGCGCGUAGGCGGUCUGAUAAGCCGGUUGUGAAAGCCCCGGGCUCAACCUGGGAACGGCAUCCGGCUGUAAGGCGAUAGGGCAGGGAGGGAAGGAAGAAUACCCGGUGCAGCGGUGCAAGGCGCAGGGGUCGGGAGGGAUACCAGUGGGGAAGGGGGCCUGCUGGACUGACAGGGAGGCUGAGUUGCGAAAGCGUGGGUAGCAACCAGGAUUAGAUACCCGGUUAUUC